AGUAACGGCGAGCGAACGGGGAAGAGCUCGUAGNNGNNUCCUUUGCCUUUGGCACGGGAAAUGUGGCGUGUGGGAGGCGGCACCCUCCUUUUUCCUAUCAGAGCGCAAGUCCCCAUGAGAGGGGCUUUCCCAGAGCGGGUGCUAGGCCCUUACCGCUUGGAUAGGUUAAAGGAGUCGUCGUUCUCUUUAGAGUCGGGUUGCUUGGGAGUGCAGCCCAAAGCGGGUGGUAAACUCCACCUAAAGCUAAAUAAGACCGAGAGACCGAUAGCAAACAAGUACCGUGAGGGAAAGUUGAAAAGCACUUUGAAGAGAGAGUUCAAUAGUACGUGAAACCGUUUGGAGGUAAACGGGUGGGGCUUCGAAGGCCUAAGCAGGUGGCUCAGUCAUGAUUCAAUCGAGGGAAGGUCACUGGUGGACGCUCCGCGAAGGAGGCCACCUAGGCCGAUUACCUCGAGGGUUUGCAGCAUGUUUGCCCCCUUGCCAUUGGGACGCCGCGACGGGUUUCGAGAUUUUCGUGGGGCUUGGCUGAAAGGUGGCCUCCUUUCUUUAUUGAUUGGAGGUGUUACAGGCAGCCUAUCGCCCGAAGUAUCUCGGGACCGAGGAAGAGUAUCUCUCGAGAGCGCUCCCUGUCGAGCAGCUCGGUGCUGGGGCUGCCACAACUUCCUUUAAUUCUACUCUUCGAGUGCUUUAUCGGAGGUUCAGGGUUUCCCCUAGUACUUAGAGCGGUGGAGCGAGAGGUGGGCGGCGAGUAGUUCGGGCUCCCACCCGACCCGUCUUCAAACACGAACCAAGGAGUCCAAUGCGCGUGCGAGUCCCCGGGACUUGAAUAGGCCCGUGGGCGCAAAGAAAGGGAAGGGUGUCUCGGACGUCCUAGUUUGGAUCUUCUAAUUAGGAGCGCACCAACGGCCCAUUCGAAACUGGUUUCAGUUGGAUGGAGCAAGAGCACGCGCCUUGGGACCCGAAAGAUGGUGAACUAUGCCUGGGCAGGACGAAGCCAGAGGAAANNNNGGUGGAGGUCCGCAGCGAUUCUGACGUGCAAAUCGAUCGUCAGACCUUGGUAUA
This 1062-nucleotide ribosomal RNA is filed under the name Beierolpium bornemisszai. Its description in RNAcentral is "eukaryotic LSU rRNA". It matches the Rfam family "Eukaryotic large subunit ribosomal RNA", at positions 82 to 919 of the family's 3401-position model. The record is from RNAcentral. Lineage: Eukaryota; Metazoa; Arthropoda; Arachnida; Pseudoscorpiones; Olpiidae.